Molecule: long non-coding RNA, 1403 nt
Filed under: Pectinophora gossypiella (pink bollworm)
Lineage: Eukaryota; Metazoa; Arthropoda; Insecta; Lepidoptera; Gelechiidae
Description: uncharacterized LOC126369558
Source: RNAcentral
AGAAACCUUCCAUCAUCACCUAUCGACACAUCUAACUUCUGUUCCAUUAUUCCUUAUAAGUCGCGAGCUAGAAUGUUUUUAACUUUAAACUCGAUUUUCUCAAAACUUGAAUUUUGGACUUGUAUUACUUUUCACCGACGGUCAAAGACCUUGUAUAUUCUAUACAAGGUCUUUGCCGACGGUACAGAAUUUUCCUUUUAUUCUACUCGCAUAAUAAUUUAAUAAUAUGGUGUAUAGUAGUGUUGCCGCGAUAGUGCUCUAUCGAUAGUUUUCGAUCGAACUAUCGAUAGUUUUGUACGAUCGAUAGGGUCCUUAAUUCCGAUAGUAUUGUAAAAAAAAUCCCAUCCACUCAUUUAACAGUUUUUUUUUUAGUAUCGAUGCUAUCGUUGCUUAUCAAUAGUAUCGCCAAAAACGUGUUAUCGAUAGGCCUAUCCGUUGGGUAGAUGAUUUAUCAAAAUAAUAAUAUUAAAUUAAUAUCCCUAACUUGAAAUUUAAUUCUAAUUUAAAAAAAAGGUACCGCCUGUCUGACCUUCCAACCCCCGAAGGGAAAACCAGCACCAAAGACCAAGUAUUAGAAUCAUUGAAAUACUUGGUCCUUGGUUGCGAGAAUUUCGAUUAGUGUUGCCAAUCGAUAGACAACUAUCCUAUAUAUUAAGAUAUAUGUAGAAGUGAGGAUCGCGACCACAGGUUAUGGUUUUCCACUUGGUACGGCUAUAUGCUGCGUGCACCGCCCUCUGUAUGCUGCCGCCCACCGUCUUCUUCAUGAUGUCAGAUCACCUCGUAGGCGCCCUUCCUCGCGCACGUUUGCCAUCUAUUUGCCCAAAGAUGAUCUGCUUCUCCAGACUGUGCUUCGGAGACCGCAUAAUAUGUCCGAAGAAGCUUAGGGCACGAUUCCGGCAUAUUGAGGAGAGCCGCGUCGUGAUCUUGAGCUCUUUUAAUAUGGACUCAUUCGUACACGUAAAAAGCCUUAAAUUACCAAGUAGAGAAAGUCCGGCAUGAGGUGAGCACGAAGUUUUGAAGACAGGAGUGAUUGUAUUAGAUUUCCUCCUGAGCAGUUGCACUACAAAUUUAGUGAUGAAGAGGCAAUACUUGACAGAAACCUUAAGUGGGAUGACAUAAUUAUAAAGAAAAUCAAUAAGAGGAUGAACUCUUUUAAUGUUUAUAAAACAAUAGUAUGGAAGAAUUUUCAUGCAUCUUGGAGCAAUGGCAACAUAUUUGGGAGUUGUGAGUGACAACGAGCAGAUUACAUAACAAUGGGAGGAUAACAAGGGCCUUAACUGAAAAAACUGGUGAAUGUUCCCAAAUAAACCUCACAGAUGUAGAAGAAACACAAAAUAAAUUUGUUUAUUUAUUUUAUUUCUGUUCCCUACUAAACUAGUAAUAAAACAUACUUUUUACAAAUA